This is a long non-coding RNA of Oncorhynchus nerka (sockeye salmon), 7764 nucleotides long. RefSeq lists it as uncharacterized. The record is from RefSeq and is a predicted model, not a curated record. The transcript has 2 exons. Lineage: Eukaryota; Metazoa; Chordata; Actinopteri; Salmoniformes; Salmonidae.
UUGUCAUGGUCCUUAAUUUAUAAACACAAUUUUUCUCCACACAGAUAUUAUAUAUGGAAUAAUCAGGAUAUAUUGUAUAAAAAUACCUCUCUGUUUUUAGAAUAUUGGUUCAGAAAUAAUAUCCUAUUGGUGAGCCAACUGGUAAAUGCAGAGGGUCUUUUACUCAGUUAUAAAGAAUUCUUAUCACUUUACAAGGUCCCUGUAACACCUAAAGAUUUUGCAAUUGUUUUAGAUGCCAUUCCCUCAGGUGUUGCUAUGUUAUUCAGGAACAUGUCAAGACCUGACCCUCAGAGCCUACCUUCUAUUGACCCUGUUGACUCAUCAGUAGGAAAGAUUUGUUUCUCUUUUGGUCCAUUCAACAACAGAGCGAUACGAUCCUUGUUUCAGCAGGAUGUUGUAUCUAUACCUUAUGUCAUGCCUUAUUGGAAUGGAUUUAUUGAUAAUAUCUGUUGGAAAAAAGUUUGGAUGUUGCCACAAACAUGCCUACUUGUUAACAAAAUUAAGGAAGUUUACUUUAAAAUUAUUCAUAAAUAUUACCCUGCCAACCACUAUAUGAAGAUGUUUAAGGAAAACAUCAACUCAAAUUGCUCCUUUUGUAAUGACCACCCAGAAACAGUUGUGCAUAUUUUUUGGCAUUGUAUGCAUGUAAGAAAACUGUGGCAAGACAUCAGUAGGUUUAUAAUUGAACACAUUUAUGAAGAUUUUACACUAUUGUGGAGAGAUGUACUGUUUGGAUUCUUUACAUACAAUAGAAAUAAGCGGAAUCAUUUUUAUGUAAUUAAUUUCAUUAUUCUUUUGGCCAAAUUUCAUAUACACAAAUGUAAAUUUACAAACAGAAAACCACAUUUUCGUACCUUACAAAAAGAAAUUGAACUGUAUUUUAAGACGGUUAAAUGCUCUACUAACAAAAAAGCUGUUAGAAUUGUAAGUAUAUGCAUGUCCCUUAAGGUCCUUGUGUAAUUGUAAUGUGAUAUUGUACCCCCUAGCUCGAUUGUCCAUUGUUUGUAAUCUAUGUAUGCUUGUGUUCCCUCAUGUGCUUUAUGUAUUGAUUUGUUGUUAAUAAAAAAAAUAUUCAAAAAUUCAACCGAAAUAUGCCUUCCGCAUUUAACCCAACCCCUCUGAAUCAGAGGGGGGGAGGGGCUGCCUUAAUCGACGUCCAUGUUAUGUGAGCCCGGGAAGCAGUUGUUGUUGAGAUUUUUCCGGGUACCGCUAAACUACCUGUCGCCUCUAGUUAUCUAACGCUCUUCUAAUAAGAUACUGACCACUGGUCUGACACUUGGCUAGUACCAGCGGCAGUGCAUCUCAUAACGCUCCUCCAUCUCGACCCCUGAAUGCCCAUCUGCUAGCCGCGGGCCCGCUAGCUGUCUAGAGCAUAUCGGACUGGUAGCUGAAGAGGUCCAUCAUCCAAUUUCUUGGGCUACUAUACCUAUUUGCCAAUUGGCCUGGACCCGUUUACUACACGGAGCCCUGUUGGUCCAUCACGACUGGUCUGCCGACAUAACCGCACGAAGGGGCUUCCGUUGCGACGUCCCUCCAAGGCCCUUCUGCUAGCCUCGGCCCCCUACCUGUCUGAAUUGCAGUGUCUCCAACUCGCCUAGCUACUCAGAGGACCCUAUGAUCACUCGGCUACGCACGCCUCUCCCUAAUGGCAAUAUGCCUUGUCCAUUGCUGUUUUGGUUAGUGAUUGUCUUAUUUCACUGUAGAGCCUCCAGCCCUGCUCAAUAUGCCUUAGCUAACCCUUUUGUUCCACCUCCCACAGGUGCGGUGACCUCACCUAGUUUAAAUGGUGUCUCUAGAGUCAAUACCUCUCAUCGUCACUCAAUGCCUAGGUUUACCUCCACUGUAUUCACAUCCUACCAUACCUUUGUACAUUAUGCCUUGAAUCUAUUCUACCGUGCCCGUAAACCUGCUCUAUUUACCCUCCGUUCCGAACGUACUAGAUGACCAGUUCUUAUAGCCUUUAGCCGUACCCUUAUCCUACUCUGUUCCUCUGGUGAUGUAGAGGUUACUCCAGGACCUGCAGUGCCUAGCUCCACUCCCAUUCCCCAGGCGCUCUCAUUUGUUGACUUCUGUAACUGUAAAAGCCUUGGUUUCAUCCAUGUUAACAUUAGACGACUCCUCCCUAAGUUUGUUUUAUUCACUGCUUUAGCACACUUUGCCAACCCGGAUGUCCUAGCCGUGUCUGAAUCCUGGCUUAGGAAAGCCACCAAAAACCCUGAAAUUUCCAUCCAUAACUAGUAACAUUUUCUGACAAGAUAGAACUGCCAAAGGGUGCAGAGUUGCAGUCUACUGCAGAUAGCCAGCAUAGUUCUGUCUUACUAUCCAGGUCUGUGCCCAAACAAUUUGAGCUUCUACUUUUAAAAAUCAGAAACAAGUCUCUCACCGUUGCUGCUUGCAUAUAGAUCACCUUCUGCCCCCAGCUGUGCCCUGGACACCAUAUGUGAAUUGAUUGCCCCCCAUCUAUCUUCAGAGCUCGUGCUGUUAGGUGACCUAAACUGGGACAUGCUUAACACCCCGGCCAUCCUACAAUCUAAACUUGAUACCCUCAAUCUCACGAUCAAUGAACCUACCAGGUACAACCCCAAAUCCAUAUACACGGGCACCCUUAUAGAUAUCAUCCUAAUCAACCUGCCCUCCAAAUACACCUCUGCUGUCUUCAACCAGGAUCUCAGCGGUCACUGCCUCAUUGCCUGCGUCCGUAAUGGGUCUUCGGUCAAACGACCACCCCUCAUCACUGUCAAACGCUCCCUUUAAACACUUCAGCGAGCAGACCUUUCUAAUCGACCUGGCCCGGGUAUCCUGGAAGGAUAUUGACCUCAUUCCAUCAGUAGAGGAUGCCUGGUUAUUCUUUAAUGCCCAGUUCAAAAAAUGUUGAACAAGGAACAGAUAUAGCCCUUGGUUCACUCCAGACUUUACUGCCCUUGACCAGCACAAAAACAUCCUGUGGCGUACUGCAUUAGCAUCGAAUAGCCCCUGUGAUAUGUAACUUUUCAGGGAAGUUAGGAACCAAUAUACACAGGCAGUUAGGAAAGCAAAGGCUAGCUUUUUCAAACAGAAAUUUGCAUCCUGUAGCACAAAGUCCCAAAAGUUCUGGGACACUAAAGUCCAUGGAGAAUAAGAGCACCUCCUCUCAGCUGACCACUGCACUGAGACUAGGAAACACUGUCACCACCGAUAAAUCCACGAUAAUUGAGAAUUUCAAUAAGCAUUUUUCUAUGGCUGGCCAUGCUUUCCACCUGGCUACCCCUUCCCCGGUCAACAGCCCCGCACUCACCACAGCAAUUUGCCCAAGCCUCCCCCACCCAAAUCCAGAUAGCUGAUGAGCUGCAAAAUCUGGACCCCUACAAAUCAGCCGGGCUAGAUAAUUACAUUUACAUUUAAGUCAUUUAGCAGACGCUCUUAUCCAGAGCGACUUACAAAUUGGUGCGUUCACCUUAAGACAUCCAGUGGAACAGCCACUUUACAAUAAUGCAUCUAAAUCUUUUAAGGGGGGGGGGGGGGUGAGAAGGAUUACUUUAUCCUAUCCUAGGUAUUCCUGAAAGAGGUGGGGUUUCAGGUGUCUCUGGAAGGUGGUGAUUGACUCCGCUGUCCUGGCGUCGUGAGGGAGUUUGUUCCACCAUUGGGGGGCCAGAGCAGCGAGCAGUUUUGGAAUCUGGAAACAAUCUGGACCAUCUCUUUCUAAAAUGAUCCACCAAAAUUGUUGCAACCCCUAUUACUAGCCUGUUCAACCUCUCUUUCCUAUCGUAUGAGAUCCCCAAAGAUUGGAAAGCUGCCGCGGUCAUCCCCCUCUUCAAAGGGGAGACACUCUAGACCCAAACUGCUACAGACCUAUAUCUACCCUGCCUUUCUAAGGUCUUCGAAAGCCAAGUUAACAAACAGAUCACCGAACAUUUCGACUCCCACUGUACCUUCUCCGCUAUGCAAUCUGGUUUCCGAGCUGGUCAUGGGUGCACCUCAGCCACGCUCAAGGUCCUAAACGAUAUCAUAACCGCCAUGGUUAGACUGUAAACUAUCCUUCCAUACUCACAUUAAGCAUCUCCAAUCCAAAAUUACAUCUAGAAUUUGCUUCCUAUUUCGCAACAAAGCAUCCUUCAAUCAUGCUGCCAAACAUACCCUCGUAAAACUGACUAUCCUGCUGAUCCUUGACUUUGGCGAUGUCAUUUACAAAAUAGCCUCCUACACUCUACUCGACCUCCCGGUCGGCUACGACAGAACCUGGGAAUGAACCCAGAGUCUCUGGUGGCACAGCUGGCGCUGCAGUACAGCACCCUUAACCACUGCACCACUCGGGAGGCCCUCUCCCUCACAGAUCACUGCAUCUGUAAAUAGCCCAUCCAACUACCUGAUCACCAUACUGUUAUCUAUUUUAUUUUGCUCCUUUGCACCCCAGUAUCUCUACUUGCACAUUCAUCUUUUGCACAUCUAUCACUCGUGUUUUAUUGCUAAAUUGUAAUUAUUUCACCACUAUGGCCUAUUUUUGCCUUACCUCCCUUGAACACCUGUAUAUAGACUUGUUAUAUUGUGUUAUUGAUUGUAUGUUUGUUCAUUCUAGAGGUCCACCGAUUAAUCGGAAUGGCUGAUUAAUUAGGGCUGAUUUCAAGUUUUCAUAACAAUCGGAAAUUGGUAUUUUUGUGCGCCGAUUCUUUUUUUUCUUUUUUUAUAUAAAAAAAUAUACUUUUAUUUAACUAGGCCAAUCUUGCAGCGGUACAGUUAACUAGUCCAACGUCUAACCAUUGCACUCCACCAGUAGCCUGCCUGUUACGCGAAUGCAGUAGAAGCCAGUAGAAGCCAAGGUAAAUUGCUAGCUAGCAUUAAACUUAUCUUAUAAAAAACAAUCAAUCAUAAUCACUAGUUAUAACUACUAAUCCAGUUUAGCAGGCAAUAUUAACCAGGUGAAUUGUCAUUUAUCUUGUGUUCAUUGCACGCAGAGUCGGUAUAUGCAACAGUUUGGGCUGCCUGGCUCAUUGCAAACUAAUUAUGACAUAACAUUGAAGGUUGUACAAUGUAACAAGAAUAUUUAGACUUGGGGAUGCCACCCGUUAAAUAAAAUACCGAACGGUUCCGUAUUUUACUGAAAUAAUAAACGUUUUGUUUUCGAAAUGAUAGUUUCCGGAUUCGACCAUAUUAAUGACCAAAGGCUCGUAUUUCUGUGUGUUAUGUUAUAAUUAAGUCUGAUUUGAUAGAGCAGUCUGAGUGAGCAGCAGCAGGCCCAUAAUCAUUCAUUCAAACAGCACUUUCGUGCGUUUUGCCACCAGCUCCUCGCAAAAACAGCGCUGUUUGACUUCAAGCCUAAUGGCUGGUGUAACCCAUGUGAAAUGGCUAGCUAGUUAGCUGGGUGUGCGCUAAUACUGUUUCAAACGUCACUCGCUUUUAGAUUUGGAGUAGUUAUUCCCCUUGCAGCAAUGGGUAACGAUGCUUCGAGUGUGGCUGUUGUCGAUGUGUUCCUGGUUCGAGCCCAGGAGGGGGGCGGAAGCUAUACUGUUACACUGGCAAUACUAUAGUGCCUAUAAUAACAUCCAAUAGUCAAAGGUAUAUGAAAUACAAAUGGUAUAGAGAGAAAUAGUCCUAUAAAUACUAUAUUAAAACCUCUUACCUUGGACUAUUGAAGUCUCAUGUUAAAAGGAACCACCAACUUUCAUAUGUUCUGAGCAAGGAACUUAAACGUUAGCUUUUUUUACAUGGCACAUAUUACUUUCUUCUCCAACACGUUGUUUUUGCAUUAUUUAAACCAAAUUGAACAUGUUUCAUUAUUUAUUUGUGGCUAAAUUGAUUUUGAUGUAUUAUAUUAAGUUAAAAUAAGUGUUCAUUCAGUAUUGUUGUAAUUGUCAUUAUUAUAAAUGACAUUUUAAAAAUCGUCCGAUUAAUCGGCUUUUUUGGUCCUCCAAUAAUCGGAAUCGGUGUUGAAAUCAUAAUCGGUCGACCUCUAGUUCAUUCCAUGUGUAACUCAGUGCUGUUCUUUGUGUCGCACUGCUUUUCUUUAUCUUGGCCAGGUCGCAGUUUUAAAUGAGAACUUGUUCUCAAUUAGCCUUGCUGAUUAAAUAAAGGUGAAAUAAAUAAGUGAUAACUAAGCUCCGGUAGAAAUCAGUUUUUCUAAACUAGACAAGCUAUGGAACUCCAAUAUUUAGUCUUCAUAUAUAUAGAUUUGAAAUGCAUGCCAUCCCCAUUACUCUCCUGAGUUGUCACGCAGUCUCUCGUUGAUAGGAAAAUUAAGACAAGUGACGUUUUGGUAACACUUUAUGAGCCACUGGCUUAUAGGGUCUUAUAAGGAACCAUGAGCUUUUUUUUAUAGUGUAUAAUACUACCCGUGUGAUUAUUACAAAUGCAUCUACUGUGUAGUGUGUAUGUAUUUAUAAAGGGUGUUAAUAGGAGCUUUGAGAAGUGAUGAAGCAACGUUAGGGUGAUUGGGUGACAUUCAAUUCAUUACUACAUUAAACAAUACUUCACUGGAGACAUCAUUCAGCAUAAGUGUUUGCUAUAGUAAAUAACUAAUGCAAAUAUUGUAAACGCAAAAAGCAACAGUUAAGUGUAAAAUAAAUCACUUUAUUUGUAGUUACAAUAACUAACAUUGCUAAACAUUUCAACUAGCAUAUUUUCUCUAAUUAUACUCGCAACAUCUCAAACUGCAUUUUAAUAUAGAUUCUAUCUUGCAUCCAGCUUUCAGUUGUACACUGUCUAAAAUUAAAUACAAAAAGGUGAGAAGGGAACAGUGGGGGUGUAGAGAUCUAGGUAUUUCAUGGAGAGAAAAGGGAAAUUCAUUUGUAAUAUUUUUUUAUUUUUUAUUGCCAACUCCACGCCUAACGCACAAUUACAGAACAUUUUUGUACAGAAUGUCGCAGAGAAAACAGAAUGGGAAAAAUGCCACUACUGCUAAAGAAAGAGUCUCUGUUUACAAGGAUAGGGGUACAGAACAUUCUGCCAUUCAGAUGCUGCAAGUUCCUUCUUUUUUCUUAUUAAAGGACAGAAAAAAACCUGUUUGUUACAAAAUGUUUAUUUUUUUUGUCACUGGAAUUUGUUUGCUACACAAGAAAUUAACAUUUCUUUGUUCCAUUUGUGUGUCUGUGCGUGCAUAUGUGUUUUAAAUGUUUAGAUUACUUUUAAAAUCAAGGAAUCCUUCCCAAGUAUGGAUAUAAGACCAGGUAACUGUUUAUGUUAUGGUGUUUGCUGCUCUCAAGUGCAUAGCUUUGACAUUUUAAUUGAAUUAUUUAUGCACAGAUUAGCCAAAAACAAUAUAAAUACCAUUGUAAUUAUGAUAUAUUUAACAGGUUAUUUUCUUUAAAAGAAAAACAUCAAAAGGACUUAGUUCAUAUGCACCUCUUUAAGCAAUUCUACAGCAUGCGAUCCUAAGAGUUAACCCACCCAUGGCAGACAACUUUUUUUUGUUUUUUUACUUAAAAAGUUUCAAUAUCAUUAUUUUCAAACAUUGAUUUAUACAACAUUUCGUUCAGAGUAGUAACUGCAUUUCCAAGCACAGAAUGGGUUCCUCUUGAAACUCCGGAAAGAAACCGGGGUAUAAGUGGAGGCUUCCCUACCCAACCAAAUCACAUCACCGGUCCCAACCACAGUCAACAGAAAGAAAUAAAAUAAAGUGAACCGAUGGGAUUCUUCAUUUCACUAUUCUACAUUGUCACCAAACAAAAGGUGAAGAGAAUGGGUAAAUAAAAAAAAGAUUUGAUUUGUUUAAAAAUUAGCAUUCAUUAUCACAAAUAGCAUGUGCUUGGUUAGUUAACUUUCCUUUAAACAUUAUUCUGCAUAUGAAAAGUAAAA